RNAcentral lists this ribosomal RNA (461 nucleotides) under uncultured bacterium. RNAcentral's name for it is "partial 16S ribosomal RNA". It matches the Rfam family "Bacterial small subunit ribosomal RNA", at positions 28 to 506 of the family's 1533-position model. The record is from RNAcentral.
GACGAACGCUGGCGGCGUGCUUAACACAUGCAAGUCGAGCGGAAAGGCCCUUCGGGGUACUCGAGCGGCGAAAGGGUGAGUAACACGUGAGUAACCUGCCCCAGACUUUGGGAUAACCCUCGGAAACGGGGGCUAAUACCGGAUACGACACAGCUUCGCAUGGGGUCUGUGUGGAAAGUUUUUCGGUUUGGGAUGGGCUCGCGGCCUAUCAGCUUGUUGGUGGGGUGAUGGCCUACCAAGGCGACGACGGGUAGCCGGCCUGAGAGGGCGACCGGCCACACUGGGACUGAGACACGGCCCAGACUCCUACGGGAGGCAGCAGUGGGGAAUAUUGCACAAUGGGCGGAAGCCUGAUGCAGCGACGCCGCGUGAGGGAUGACGGCCUUCGGGUUGUAAACCUCUUUCAGCAGGGACGAAGCGUAAGUGACGGUACCUGCAGAAGAAGCGCCGGCCAACUACGU